RNAcentral lists this ribosomal RNA (460 nucleotides) under uncultured bacterium. Its description in RNAcentral is "partial 16S ribosomal RNA". It matches the Rfam family "Bacterial small subunit ribosomal RNA", at positions 338 to 795 of the family's 1533-position model. The record is from RNAcentral.
CCUACGGGGGGCAGCAGUGAGGAAUAUUGGUCAAUGGGCGCGAGCCUGAACCAGCCAAGUAGCGUGAAGGAUGACUGCCCUACGGGUUGUAAACUUCUUUUAUAAAGGAAUAAAGUGAGUCACGUGUGCCUUUUUGUAUGUACUUUAUGAAUAAGGAUCGGCUAACUCCGUGCCAGCAGCCGCGGUAAUACGGAGGAUCCGAGCGUUAUCCGGAUUUAUUGGGUUUAAAGGGAGCGUAGAUGGGUUGUUAAGUCAGUUGUGAAAGUUUGCGGCUCAACCGUAAACUUUCAAUUGAUACUGGCAGUCUUGAGGACAGUUGAGGUAGGCGGAAUUCGUGGUGUAGCGGUGAAAGGCUUAGAUAUCACGAAGAACCCCGAUUGCGAAGGCAGCUUACUAAACUGUGACUGACAUUGAUGCUCGAAAGUGUGGGUAUCAAACAGGAUUAGAUACCCCAGUAGUC